RNAcentral lists this ribosomal RNA (497 nucleotides) under uncultured bacterium. Its description in RNAcentral is "partial 16S ribosomal RNA". It matches the Rfam family "Bacterial small subunit ribosomal RNA", at positions 28 to 507 of the family's 1533-position model. The record is from RNAcentral.
GAUGAACGCUGGCGGCGUGCCUAAUACAUGCAAGUCGAGCGAACAGACGAGGAGCUUGCUCCUCUGACGUUAGCGGCGGACGGGUGAGUAACACGUGGAUAACCUACCUAUAAGACUGGGAUAACUUCGGGAAACCGGAGCUAAUACCGGAUAAUAUAUUGAACCGCAUGGUUCAAUAGUGAAAGACGGUUUUGCUGUCACUUAUAGAUGGAUCCGCGCCGCAUUAGCUAGUUGGUAAGGUAACGGCUUACCAAGGCAACGAUGCGUAGCCGACCUGAGAGGGUGAACAGCCACACUGGAACUGAGACACGGUCCAGACUCCUACGGGAGGCAGCAGUAGGGAAUCUUCCGCAAUGGGCGAAAGCCUGACGGAGCAACGCCGCGUGAGUGAUGAAGGUCUUCGGAUCGUAAAACUCUGUUAUUAGGGAAGAACAAAUGUGUAAGUAACUAUGCACGUCUUGACGGUACCUAAUCAGAAAGCCACGGCUAACUACGUG